GCCCCUUUCUUUUUGCGGCAGGAUAGCUAUAUCGGACCUGCCGGUUUCGACCGGCUAUGGCGAUAAAUUGUUGCGUGCAAUAGGCGCAGCGGACCCGGGGGCGGUACCCGGCGGCUCCACCAUUACUACUCUGCCUUGGCAGGGGCCCUGUUGUCGCAGGGGUAAUGACGGGGCCGAACUAGGAUCGACGUGUGUUGAAAAGCGCAGUUUUCGCCCGGGCUGAGUAACCCGUUCAAGGCUCAAAACUCACAAGUGCCAACGACAACGAAGCACUUGCUCUCGCCGCGUAACCUGACGGCCUCACGGCCUGAUCUUACAAAGCGAAAGCACGGUUCGGACCGAACCGGGUAACAGAAUCGGAAACC
This 365-nucleotide transfer-messenger RNA is filed under the name Novosphingobium sp. It matches the Rfam family "Alphaproteobacteria transfer-messenger RNA". From Rfam's summary of the family: Bacterial tmRNA, also known as 10Sa RNA or SsrA, is named for its dual tRNA and mRNA-like properties. Its role is to liberate the mRNA from a stalled ribosome. To accomplish this part of the tmRNA is used as a reading frame that ends in a translation stop signal. Lineage: Bacteria; Pseudomonadati; Pseudomonadota; Alphaproteobacteria; Sphingomonadales; Sphingomonadaceae. The record is from RNAcentral.